AAAGAUCGAAUGGAGAGAUUCAUCGUCAGCGACGCAGGCUCACGAUGGCGAGUGAUGCUACGGGAUUUCGGUCCUGGGGCACGCGGUCGUCGCGUAUGUCCGUCGGCGUCGGCGUGCACUUCUCUCCUAGUAGGACGUCGCGACCCGUUGGGUGCCGGUCUAAGGCCCGGGUGGGCGCCUGUCUCGUCGCUUCGGCGCAUCGAGGCAGACCCCCGGUCGCCAGUUGCCGGCUGCCCGGCGGUACUCGCAUGGUAUCGGGCCGCAAAAUCGAACUGCGUCGGACCCGUCGCAAGCGCGAUCAGUGUUUCACGGAGGUGCGGACCCAGAGCCGUCACCGUGCCUGAUCAGCUGUUGGUCGUACGGUGCCUCUCCGACUGGCCAUAAUACGAUCGAUACCGGUCGGCGACGCUACUGCUUUGGGUAAUCUCAGGACCCGUCUUGAAACACGGACCAAGGAGUCUAACAUGUGCGCGAGUCAUUGGGACCGCAUGCCUAAAGGCGAAAUGAAAGUGAAGGUGGGCCUUUAGCGCCGACCGAGGGAGGAUGGGCCGCGUCAAGAUGCGACUCCGCACUCCCGGGGCGUCUCGUUCUCAUU
This 595-nucleotide ribosomal RNA is filed under the name Allobethylus sp. MC-2010. RNAcentral describes it as "eukaryotic LSU rRNA". Lineage: Eukaryota; Metazoa; Arthropoda; Insecta; Hymenoptera; Bethylidae. The record is from RNAcentral.